AUCCAUCUGACUAGUCUUAAACAGGACGAAAUGCGCGUCCUGGAU
Molecule: non-coding RNA, 45 nt
Organism: Schistosoma mattheei
Lineage: Eukaryota; Metazoa; Platyhelminthes; Trematoda; Strigeidida; Schistosomatidae
Source: Rfam